This 368-nucleotide long non-coding RNA is filed under the name Gopherus agassizii (Agassiz's desert tortoise). Its description in RNAcentral is "lncRNA (ENSGAGG00000015165.1)". The record is from RNAcentral. Lineage: Eukaryota; Metazoa; Chordata; Testudines; Testudinidae.
AGACAGUUCACUUCUCAGCUCUAAAUGCAUCCCACGAAUUUUUAAAUUAUUUAAAAAAAAAUGCUUUAAUUGUUGACUUAUGGGGACUUCAAGAGGGGUGCACUGAAUUGGACUACUCCCUACAAGACAUGGUCACAAAUGAGGGCACCAUUAUAGUUGACAAUCCAAAAACUGUGAUUGCAAAGAAUAUUGGUCUGGGCACAACUAACCAGAUAUCUGAUCUUUACCUGAAGCUGCUGAAGUUGGAAGAGGAGACUGAGCUUCUCAGAGAUAUUAACAGAGCUUUAAGGGAAGAAAAUGUAUUUCUUAAAGAUAAACUGAAGAAAUGGGAGACAGGACACCAUGAAAGUCAGUGCAAACCAUAAAAU